UUUUUUUUUUUUUUUUUUUUUCUGUAUUCAAGAGAGUACAAAUCACCAAGUGAUUCAUUGUUUCUCGUAAUUUGGAGUGCUACUAUUACAAGAAAGUGAUCGUUAUAUCCUAGGAGACAAUCACCUGUAUCGUAAGCACCUAAGCUGGGUGAAAUUUGUUUGAAAGACAUAAAGUCAAACCCUAACCUCGAUCAACCCCAUAAGACCAUCUAGUCAAUGGUUGAGGACAACAAACUUAAGACAAAUUUUCUUUUAUAGCUAAUUUUAUCACAAUUGAUUUCUAGUGAAGAUGUACUAUGUUUGAGACAAAUUUGAGGAUUGUACUAUACUUUUAUUUAUUUUAUACAGUAACUUAAUAAUUGAUAACUUCUUGAAAUAAGAUACUUGUUUGAGUCAUUUGCAUUUUGAGUCUCAAUCACUUGUAUUGUAAGCACCUAAGCGAGGUGAAAUUUGUCUUAUAAACACAAUGAUCAAUCUCUAACCUCGAUCAACCCCAGAAGACCAUCUAGUCAAUAGUUGGGGACAACAAGCUUAAGACAAAUUUUCUUUUGCAACUAAUUUUAUUACAAUUGAUUUUUAGUGAAGAUGUACUAUGUUUCAAACAAUUUUGAGGAUUGUACCAUGUUUUUAUUUAAAUUUAGUAAUUGAUAGCCUCUUGAUAUUAGAUACUAGUUUGAGUCAUUUGUUGAGUCUCUAAGUUUGAAGUGUAAAAUAAUCAUCAUGACCUUAAAGUGGAUCUUGGGAUGUGAUACAUACAACUAAAUGGAGCAUUGUUAAAGACAAAAAUAAAAUAGAUAUCAUAGUAUUUCUUAAACUAUGAAACUCAUUUAUCUAAUUUGGUCAUGAUAUUGAACCACAUGUAAAUAACACAAUACACAAAUAUUCAUUCAUAAAUAUUCUAGACAGUUCUAAUUACUGUUUGUUUAUCUAUAAAAACAAAAAUCAAAAGAAAGAAAAAUUCAUCCAUUUUUCGAGAAUCUUUUACUAAUUUCGUUGGUUUAUGUAUAGGACAUGGACGAGUUACAAGUGUUCAAUUUUUUAUUUUUAAAAGUUUUUAAAUCAAAUAAAUUUGUAUACCUUUAUAGUUUAAUUUUUUUAAAAUUAUAAAAGUACAAAUUAACAAACAUGAGUAUGGACUUCUAGUUUUGUUCCAAUAAGUAUGACAUUGCUUCAUUUACAUUUUUCAAUUAUCAUUAUCAUUAUUUUAAAAUUAAUUUUAUUUUAAUUCCAUGUUUAAUGCUUUUGUUUCCAUUUACCCUUACUCUUUUCUAGAAUGACAAUAGGGUGAGUUUUUUCGGCUACCUCGUGCCACCCUUAAUAAAUUGGAUUUGGGAUGAAGAGAAUCGGGUUGAUGGUUGGUUUAAGAAUUUUUUUUUAAAACAAAGUAUUUUUAAUCAUUCAUAAAUUUCAAAAUACUCGUGUACUCAACAUUGAGAAUUAGGUUUAGAAAACUAAUCCUCCUCAAUUGGCAUACGUUUAGAAGAGCCCUAGUUGUAACCCUAGAGUCGAUUUGUUUGGUUGUAUUCUUAUUAGUUGUCUGUUUACUUCUCUCUAACAAGGCCUUCAUGGUAUACUUUUGAACUCUUAUGACUGAAUUAAUAUUCACCAAUCAACUGUAUAUUUGUUACAACAAUAAAUAUGGUUGUAAAAUGAUAUAAAAUCAAUGACUAAAAGAUAGAAAACUAUUUGCUAGAAGUAAAUUUUAUGGGUUAGCGUCCUUAAAUAUGACUUGGGUGUGUUAUAAAUAUAAGUUUAUGUCAAAAAAAAUUAUUAUGAAACACUCAAACAUGCUGUGUUGAGGUGUGGUGAGAGCUACGAGGUGGAGAAACAAUUCAAGGUGAUGUUCGAUCAAAUCUAGUAUGCAACUUAUAAUAACUAAUUACUAGGAGAAAAAUCCUAAAAACAAAUCUAAGUGACUAAAUGGUCGUAGAAAUCAACAAGCUAAGACAAACUUUGAGGAGAGACCAUAUGACACAUAGUCAACCCGAGCCAGGGAAACGCCAAGGGUGUUGAGUCCAGGUAUCUGUGCCGUGACCAUGGACCCAAGUUGGUUUGAUGUAUUUCCCGGAAGACGAAGCCCUUAAAAGGAGAAAUCAUUUGGGAUCGCAAGCUUUGGAUCUUGGCAGAAUUUCCCAUUCACAGACACUGCAAAGCAACAAAUAUAUUAGGACUAACGCAGCCUUGGAAAGAUCAAUGUAUAGAUUAGAGAAUGAAUCUCAAAUGGAGAAGAAGAGUAGAGAGAGGACAUGAUUAUUAUACCAGUGGCGUUUGUAUCGUUAACAGCUACACAGAAGUGCUGAAGAGGACUGGGAUCGGAGGCAGAGGCAAGAUUAAAUGCCAUAGCCAAGAGUGCAAUGUAUGCAAGGGUAUUAACUACCAUCUUCUUCGUAUCUAUGCAAAGAAGUGUAACGUUGGUAGAGCUAUUUAUAGUGGAGUCAUCUCUGAACUUUGAAGCAGUGUUAUAUUAUAAACUUUUAUUGUAUUCCACCACUCUCCAAAAUCUCUUAUUUAUAGUUACUCACACUUGACAAAAUAGAAACUCCUAAUAAUAACAUAUGAAACUUUCCAUGAUUCAACAAGUCAAAAAUAGAAACUAAAAUAACUAAUCAAAAAUAAAAUAUUCUCUCAAUUUUUAGAAACUAAAUCUGAUUCCAUUAUUUAGAAAGUUUCUAAAUCCAGUUUAACUUUUCAACAAUACUAACUAUUCUAAUCCAAAUGAAAAACACAUUAUGUAAAUUACCAAGUCCUCAAAGUUUGUCUUAGCUUGUUGAUUUCUACGACCAUUUAAACAUUGUACGUAUACAGCAAGUAACAAUUUGUCUUAGUAUUAAAAAUUCCCUCUUGUGGUCCACCAAAGAUUUUCUUUCAAAUGUCUGCAGCUGCAUGUUCAAAACCAUGUCCGUUGGUGUCAGUUUAUCUCCUCAAUCUGACCGGAGAACAAUGAAUUAGAUUUCAUAGUACAAAUUUCCGAUCAAAUCCCAAGCGAUUGGUAGCUUAUGAUCUCCUAUUAGAACCAAACUUUUGUAUCAGAAACUGUAAAUUAUUUUGUCUUGACUCAUUUUCCUUGACUAAUCUCAGGGACUGAGAAAGCAAAAGGCGACUGUCCGUUGGCGUCAGUUUAUCUCCUCAAUCCAUGCUCUUAGAACAAAGAACGUUGCCUCAACAACUCCCGGCGGUUCCUAUGAGAUGCUGCUUCAGUUUAUCUUCUCAAACUGAUCAACUGAAGGCAACUCUCUUUCUAUAAAUUUGCCUCCUCAUAUGACCACUAUGAAGCAAGCUCAGCCAAGCAUUGGAUAACAAGCACGUUGUUUCUUCAACGUCUCAAUCUUCUCUUCACAGCUUGCUAUUCAAUGGGGAGGGCUUCCCUGUUUUUUUUUUCUACAGUCAUUGUAUUUAUUUAUUUGUUUUCUUGUAGUAUAUUUCAUGGAAGCAGCUUUAUUGGGUUAAUUUCGUCCAUCUCUGCAGGGAAAUCCGUAAUGGAAAGAUCACAGCGAGCGAGUGGGUCGGAGGCACGGCCAUGGACCGAAGAAGAAGACCAGAAGCUCAUUAGAAGUAUAAACGAAUGGAAAACCGAAUGUAAGACCAAAAAUCGCUCUCUAUCUUGGCUAGAAAUCGCAUGGGAGACAGCGCUGGCGAGGAGUAGUUCGAGUUGUAGGAAGAGAUGGGAAUAUUUGGAGAAUAAGCAUUGAGUUUGCUGCAUGGUCAUGAACGCAUCUUAUGAUAAACCUAGGCUUCGUAUUAUGUUGAAGGGUUAGACCCAUUAAUUUCUGCAUAAUGUAAUGGUUGGCUUAUUGUACUCACCGAUGAAAUUAUUCAUCUUAUAAUAAACGUGUGUUUUCUAUUAUGUUGAAGGGUUAGACCCAUGAUUUGUGACCAUCCAUUUGAAGGAAAUAUAAUAAAUAAAACCUCAACUGUGAAAGACAUAAAAAGUAAUUUCGCAUACAAUAAUAAAUAAUAAUAAUAAUAAAUUAAGUGUAAAAUCCACCAUUCUUACAUUAUUAUUUUUUAAUUUUAUUUAUAGUUUUAAUUAUAUUAUGAAAGAGUUUAUAGCUCAAAAAAGAAAAAGAAAAAAGGGAAAACGAGAUAAUGAGUAUUGAGCACUAUUCUUAUAACCACCUUCAAGAUAAAAAUCCAAAGCCAUCAGGGCCUUUCAUUAUUAUAAACAACAAAAAAUAAAGUCUCAAUAGCUUAAAUAUAUCAUUUUUAAUAUUGAUUUUUGAAAUAUUUUGAUCAAUCAAUUCAAAUAAAUUUAUAAAAUUUCAUGUAUCAUUUGUUUAACAUGACUUUAAGUCUAUUGGUUCAGAAUGUAAACAAAAAAUAUUUUUAAUCAUUUAUGAUUUUCAAUUGGAAGCCAAGAAAAUAUUAGUGCUGUAAAAGCUUUAUUUUGAUUUGUGUAUGUAAGUUUUUUUUUAUAUUAAAUAAAACUUUUAUAAUAUCAAUAAUCUCAAUCUCAAGAGCUUUUAGUUUCUUCAUCCCACUUAGUAGGAGUCCUUUCUGUUAGGUCUGGUUUUUUAAAAUAUUGAUUUUUAAUUCAAUCGAUUCAAGCUCGGGACUUUCCACAAUCCAACUUAAGGUAUAGAAUAAAGAAAACAAUGGUUUUUUUAAGUAAAGUGAUCCUAGGGUUUUGGGAUCCUUUGCCUGUUGCGAUCAAUUUGAGUUCUAUAACUUAAAAUUGUAUUUGAAACCUAAUUUUUCAUUUUUAAAACUAAUUCCUAAAACCAUCAAAUAAAUGAGAUUGAUUACUCGUUUAAGAUUUGGCUAUUUAACCAUUUUUAUUCUUUAUAACUUUGUUUUGAGGGAAAUAAUGAUAGGGAAGACCAGAAUAACUAAUGAUCAAGAAUUACCAAGAAUCACUAGUAUCGGAUAAUAACCUAUUGUAUCAUUCCCUAAACUAACUCACAAGGAUAGAAUAAAAAAAUUUGGUAUUUUUUUUCUCUUUUAUUAAUUUUAUAUAUAUAAAAAAUUGUAAUCUAAGAUUUGUGUUGAAUUUCAAGCAUGAUUCUUGGCUAACUAUAGUAGUUAUUUCAAUUUAGGCAUGGUAGCCAAGUACAUAAUAUAUAGCAAAAGAGUAAGAUAGUGUUUUAUAAAUCCAACUUAUUGACUUAUUGACUUCAUCUAGAGGUUAUUAAGCACAUUAAAUGAAUUUUGUGAAGUAUAUACUAUUAUAACUUAAAAUUAAAAAUGAUUUUGGUGAAUCAAUUUAAUGAUUUAAUAACUUAAACAUAAUUUAGUUUAAAGUUACUUUAAGUCAUUAAGCAACGAACUUAAAUUCUAUUACAUGCCCUCCUAAGUAUCAAGCCAAAUAAUUUAAUAGCGUGCAUAUUUUUCAAGUAAUUUCAUUAAUUUUAUUUCUACAAAGAAUAGUAAUUUGUAUUGACAUAAAUUAAGCAAGGUAUAAAGAGGGAAUCACAAACUUUAUAUGUACUUAUUUUAUGUAAAAACAUUAUGACAUAUUUACUAAACAUUUUAGGAAAGAGAAUAAAACAAAACAUAAUCAAAAUGAUAAGAAAACGAAAUAUAGGAAAUCAAAUUUAGAAUCAAGAUUUCUAUUAAAGUACUUACAAAAUUAUUAAAAAAACAAAAUAAGACUGAAAUUGAUUCCUUUGAUAUGUUUACUAAUGGUGAAGAAAUAGAAUGAAAUAUGUGUGUUUAUCAUAAUUGGCUUAAUAGCAAUGUUACUUUUUUUUUUUUUUUAAAUAAACUUGAUACAUUUUCAAAAAUCAUACUUUUCAAACUUACACAAUUAAAAUGAAAUUUGGAUUAAAAAAUAUUUAUUUUUAUUGAUUAAAAAAAUUAUUUUGAAGAUGAUAUUUUUUAUCUUGUUUAUAACAUCUGAAUUUAACUGAGGAUUAUUAAUAUUUAUAUAAAUAAGAUAAAACGAAUAAAAAGCAUUGGUAGCUCGUUAGUAUACCUAUCCUAUAUUGGGGCCUCACUAUUUGAUAUUAUUCAAUAUAUAAAUAAAUGUCUUUAAUUUAUAAAGAAAUAUCUAAUUUAAAAUUUUAUAUAAGAUUUCUUGAUUUACAAAAAAUAUUAUGCUAAAGAAAUUAAAGUAUUUAUUUGGUACAUAAUUGAUAGUAUUCAAGAUAUGAAAACCUUUAAUUCAAAAUAUUAAUAAUUGAAUGUAUCAUUAUGUUAAUUAAAAUAAUUAUAAUAACUCUCUGAUGAGGGCCCAAAACUCAUGCCAAUUUGCUAUUAAUAAAAAAGUUGUGAUAUUAAUAGGAAAAAUAAACUUGCUGCCAGUUAAGAGGGAUUUCCAAAAGUGAUAUCUUAGUGAAGGAUUGGAUAUAUAUAUAUAUAUAUAUAUAUAUAUAUAUAUAUAUAUAUAUAUAUAUAUAUAUAUAUAUAUUUUGCUUUUAUAAUUAGAAACUUUUAUAUAAAAUAUUUAUAUUUAUUUUAUGUCUUUAAAAAUUUUAAUGAGAUGAUAAUUUUUUUUUUUUUUUUUGGAUAACUCAAUUUUUUUAAAGAGCUUUGGAAACCAUUAUUUUUUUUUUAAUAUAAAUCCCUAAAAAAAAUUGCAUCUUAAUAUAAAAGCAUCCAUCAUUUUCUGAUUUUAAAAACAAAAAUAAUAAAUAUAUCCAAAUGAAUACUUGAUUAUUAAAUUUACAUUAAUUAUAUAUAGAAACUUUUACAUUUUGAAAGUAAUUUUAGGAAGCUUAGAAACAUUAUUAAAGUUAUAAAAAAAAAAAAAAAAACAAAUCACUUGAUUAUAAAAUGAUAAAUUUACUUUCUCAAACUAGAAAUUAAAAAUCAAAGAUAUUUCAAAACCAUUUCUAAAUUUCUUUUCCUAAAAUAUAAGACAAAAGUACUUUGUAUGUGAGUACACCUAAAAUCCGAGGCCAAGGGCAUCAUUGUCAUUUCGUACAUUAAGUUAUAAAACUCAACUCAUGAAUGACACCAAAAUGAAACAAAUUAUAGCUAAUCUUUCAAUUGGCUGCUUUGAACACAUUCAAAGCAUACUAAAAACAACUUUCUGAUUAAGAAUAACUCUCCAAAGAUGUUCCCAUUGAACUAAUCAAAGUGAAUUAAAUAUUCAAUAGACUUAUGAUAGGUUGUUCAACCUAUACUUAACCAGCCCACUCAUUACUGAUGGCAAAAAUAUGAGAAUUCCUCACAUUUUUCGUACCCUUGCUAAUUUUUAAGUUUUUUUGGAUUUUGAUUUUUUUGGGCAUCCACUGAACACUCCCUAAUUAUAAUGAGAUUAUUUAAAUAAUAUCCAAGUCAUAUGAGAUCCCAAAAAAAAAAUUAAAACUUCAAAGUGGAGAAAUGGCAGGGUACGAAGAAUGUGAGGAUUCUUUGUAUUCUUCGUACCCUUACUAAUUUUUAAGUAUUUUUGGAUUUUGAUUUUUUUGGGCAUCCACUGAAUACCCCAUAAUUGUAAUGAGAUUAUUUAAAUAAUAUCCAAGUCAUAUGAGAUCCCCCCCAAAAAAAUUAAACGUCAAAGAAGUGGAGAAUUGGAAGGGUACGGAGAAUGUGAGGAUCCUCACAUUCUCCUUACCCUUGCAAAUUUUUUAGUAUUUUUGGAUUUUUGAUUUUUCUAGGCAUCAAUUGAACACCCCCUAAAGUGCAAUGAACCUAUCUAAAAAAUAUCCCAAUCAUAUGAGAUCCCCAAAAAAUUUAUUAAACUUCAAAGAAGUGGAGAAUUGGGAGGGCCCGAAGAAUGUGAGGAUUCGUCACAUUCUGCAUACCUUUGCUAAUUUGUAAGUAUUUUUGGAUUUUAAUUUUUCUGGGCAUCCACUAAACACUCUCUAAUUAUAAUGAGAUUAUUUAAAUAAUAUCCAAGUCAUAUGAGAUCCAAAAAAAAAAAAAAAAUUAAACUUUAAAGAAGUGGAGAAUUAGGAGGGUACGAGGAAUGUGAGGAUUCCCCACAUUCUUCGUACCUUCACUAAUUUUUAAGUAUUUUUGGAUUUUGAUUUUUCUGGGCAUCCAUUCAAUAUCCCCUAAUUAUAAUGAGAUUAUUUAAACAAUAUCCAAGCCAUAUGAGAUCCAAUUUUUUUUUUUAAAAAAAAAAACUUUAAAUAAAUGGAGAAUUGGAAGGGAACGAGGAAUGUAAGUAUUUCUCACAUUCUUCGUGCCCUUGAGAAUAUUUUUGUAGAAGAAAGAGAUGAAAAACAUUCCUUAUGUUUCUACAAUUGGGAGCUUAAUGUAUGCUUAGGUUUGUACAAGGCCUGAAAUUUCUUAUGCAAUUGGAAUGUUAGUAGAUAUCAAAGUAAUCCAGGUCUGGAUCACUAGAAAGCUGCAAAGAAAGUCAUGCGAUACCUUAAGGGGACUAGGGAUUACAAGCUUACAUACAUGCGAUUUGAUCAUUUGGAUGUAGUUGGAUAUUCAGAUUCUGACUUUGUUGGUUGUCUUGAUUCUAGAAAGUUGACAUCUGGAUAUGUCUUCUUAUUAGCUAGAAGGGCCAUUUCAUGGAGAAGUGCAAAGCAAACAUUGGUUGCUACUUCGACCAUAAAAGCAUAAUUUGUUUCAUGUUUUGAAGCAAUAUCACAGGCUAUUUGGUUCAGGAUUUUUAUUUCAGGGCUUUAGGUUGUUGACUCAAUUUCUAAGCCAUUGAGGAUUCAUUGUGAUAACUCUAUUGGAGUGUUUUUAGUUAAAAAUAAUAAGAGUGAAAGUCAUAGUAAACACAUUAACAUAAAGUACUUAGCUAUUAGGGAACAUGUUAAGUCAAACAAGGUGGCUAUUGAGCAUAUUAGUACUGGAUUGAUGAUUGCGAAUCCUUUGAUGAAAGGAUUUCCACCUAAGGCUAAUAGGGAACAUGUUGAGCAUAUGGGACUCAAUUUUGUUUUGUAAAUUUAAGGUAAUUGAGACACCCUUUGUGUUUUAUCACAUUUUUGGUCGAUAUGAAAACUCCAAUUAUUUCAAUUCUGUCUUCUCAUUUGGUUGUAUACAUAAAGUUUAGAGCACAACAAUAUGCAUGUUAUGAAUGUUAAGUAGACCCAGAAUGAGAAUUUUGGAAACUCAUUCAUAAAGGAAUGACUCACAUAUUGCUCUUAUUCAAAAGAGAAAGUUACAUUGUAAUACAUGAAAAGUAAUACUCGUUUUUAGAGGACUUACUGCCAUGAUUCAUGUGCUUUAAAGUCUUUUGAUUAAGUAUAAGGAUUUAGGGAAAAAUAUGUUAUGUAUUAAUUUAAUUAAUACAUAUUAAGUAAUUUUUAUAGGCCAAGUAGGAGAAAUGUUGGAAACAAAUUUACAUUUUAAUAAAAUUAAAUAAAAUAAUUUUUUUAAAAAAAUUGUGGCUCAUUUAAAUAUUAUUUUCCCUAAAAUAAAUUAAAUGUGAGGUCAUAUCUCUUAUGAAGUAACCACCCAUGUCUGCAAACAUGAGACAUAUUACUAGGUGUGAAAACUACCUUAAGUCUUCUUUGAUGAGAAAAAGAGAAAAAAAAAAAAAAGAUAUGCAAUAUUAAUUCCUGAAGUGGGAUAAAAGGUCUUUGGUUUGCAAGAAUAAGUCUGUGAGUUCCAACGAUGCAUGGACAUAAGGUCUUGUAAGGACUAACCAACUAAUCUCUAUUUUGUGUGAAUCUGAUUGCCAUGGUUGGAGGUACAAUCUUGGAUUUUCAUUUUAUUACUUGUAACUUUAGAAAUUUUUAACUAACAAGAAAUUCAGCAAGCAAAUUGAUGAAUAAAAAGGGGAAAAAAAAAAAACUAGUCUUUUAUCUCCAUUUUUUAAAGAAGAUUUUACAUUGUUUAGUCGUCUUGUUUUUCUAGGUAAGACAAGGGAAUGACAACUCAGACCCGAAAAUCAUGAAACAAAGGAGCUUGGCAAAUCAAAACAUCUUCCACCCAACAAAGUGAGGAAAUACUUACAGAAUUGAAGUGUCAUGCAUAGAUGGUAAUAUCGCUUUACUACUAUUUCUGCACCAACUACAAAGAAGGAUUUUGUGGAACCCCAGAAGAUCAAGUUGAAUUCUUCUUCUUGGGUCUCCCAUUAAAGCCUAUAACACAUUUGAGAAGUUUAAAAUUAUAGAUUUGGUAUGAUACAAAAUGCAAUUUUCAAGAACUUCAAUAGGGAAAUAAAAAAGUUUACAAGUUCCAAGAAAAAAAAGGCAAAUCUAAAAAAACCUCAACUUUAAAUUACCAUAUCUUAAAAUAAAGCAUUCAUACUUCAUACUUGAUAAAAUUGUCACAUGCACAAAAAGUUUGCUGCACCCACUUGAUCAAAAGAGGUUGUUUUCUACUCAGUGCAAUCCUCCAAAUCAUCUAACUUCCUUAUAAUAAUGGUAAUAUAUGCUUAAACAUCUAAAUCCUUUGGUAAUACAUACACUCUACUAGCUUUUACCCUGUUCAUUGUUCUAUCUCUAGGUGGUUCCUUGACAAUUGGUUCUUCCCAACUUCUAGAUACCUCAGCAACAUAAUCAAGGAAUUGAAAUGCUUCAUCGGGGUUUUUAUUCAUGAAAUCUCCUUCACACAUAGUCUCAAGAAGUUGUUUCAUUAAUGGUGACAUCCCUUCAUAGAAAUACGAUACUAGUAUCUAGUUGUCAAAUCCGUGAUGAGGGCAUCUUGCAACCAUCUCCUUGAAUAUUUCUUAGCAAGCAAAAAAAUUCUCAUCCUUCAUAGCCUUGAAAUUUGAGAUCUCCUUUUUCAAUGCAUUAAUCCUAUGUGCUGGAAAGAAUUUUUGUAGAAUCAUUAAUUAUAGAUCACCCCAAUUUCCGAUGAUAUACGAUUUAAGACUAUUUAACUAAGUCUUAGCGUUAUCCUUCAUUAACAAGGAGAAUAGCUUCAUGCGAUAGAUAUCCAAAGAAGUGUUGGCUUCUCAAAAAAUUGAAACGAUGUCCUCAAAUUCCUUGAUGUGAGAGUAUGGGUUUUCAUUUUCUGUCCCCCUAAUAUUGGGUAAUUGAGAUACCACGUGAGGCCAAAUGGUAACAUGAUCAUCAUUUGGAGGUAGCAUAAAACACGAUGGUGUGCUCAACUUGGGAGGAUUUAGAAACUCUCUCAUAGUUUUUUGGUCCUACAUAGGUGGUCGAGGCCUGUUGUUGUUGUUGUUGGACUCUUCAAUGUCCUCCAUAUUUAGUUGAGAUUUCUCAGUUGUUCUUUGAAGUCUACCUGAAAGAUUUCUUUCCCAACCUAGCAUAAAAUAAAGGAAAAAUAUAUAUAAGAAAAAAACAAAAUUAAAAGAACUAAACAAAGUAAUGCACUAUAUCCUAGUUAUGACGAUUGCCAAUCCCCGACAAUGGCACCAAUUUCUUAACUGAACUUCUCUAUUGUACCAAAAUACUUAGCCUUUUUCCAUGGCAACUCUAGUAAAGAAAAACUAAAGAAAGAGUCACUACGACUUUUGUAGUACUUCGGGUAUCUUCCUUAGGGAUUAUGGAAAUUGUCAAUACUAAAAUAAAUUAAUUGUUUUUGUUUAAAUCUUAAAAUGAAAAAUAAUAUGUGAAUGAAGUGAAACUAAGUAAAAGAACUAAAUUAAUAAUAAUAAUAAUAAUAAAAAAAAGAAAUAAUCUAGCUGGGUUUCACGCUUCAGAAGUUCUAGGUGGACUAACCCUCUUUAAGGACACAUUUUAGCACUAAUUAGAAUAUUCUUACAAUAGUCCAACGACAAGCAAUGUGGAACAACCACUUGGUGUUGUUUUUUAACCUCUUUAAAUAAUACCCGGAAGUUAUAACUUUUUCCAUUUGUUGAUGUAGGUAUACCCUGGCUCAGGAGCAUGGUGAUCUUAUCAAUCUCCAUGAUUGGUACUAGUCUUUCAAAUCAACUGUCUUUCAGCCAAGUACUAAAGGGAAACACAAGUUGAAGCAGUCCCCAGCUAAGAAAAGAAAGGACACAAAUGAAUCUCAAAACCAGAGUGAAGCAUCGAUUCAGUAUCCUAUUCCUUUUCCAUUUUGCAUAGAAUUUUUCACUUUCAUUGGAUUAGUAACUGUGAUGCAGACUUCUUAAACAUACAAUGGAUUCAAACAUUAAAUCACAAAUUCACACUGCAUAACUUGUUGGGAAGGCUAGAUUAGGUGCUUUUAAACCUUUUGUUAUAGAUAUCAAUUUAAGAUCCUAGAGUUUCGCUUUUGAGUUUUACUGUCAGUGUCAUUUCAUUAGAUUAUAUGAAUAGAAAUUAUCAAGACAAUGAAAAUCAUGGAAAACAUUUACUGUAUUUUGGCCAUUUAUGUCAUAAUUCGAACUUACAAGACUCUCCAAACUUGAGACAAGAACCAUAUAAAACAGUUACUAGAUUCUAAUGAUUUGCAAACUUGAGCUGGAAACAAACACUGCAUGAAGUUAAUAUCCUAAUUACAUUCAUUCAAACUAUAUUCAAUAUCUGUUAUGGAGCUCAUAAUUUGUUGUCCCAUGUUUUCCUGCCUUAUUUCUUACUCUAUAAUGGUUUAUCUCAUAUUCCAAACUCAUGAUAUCAUCUUCUUUCCUUUCCUCAUGGUCCAUGAGUCUUGACUCACUUAUUUCCUCAUUUAACCCUUUCUUGAUCUUUAAAAAUUUUAAAUGAUUCAAAUUGCACCAUUUUCUUCCCUUUAACCUGAGAUAAAUCUCCAAAAUACAAGUUAAACUCAUGACUAGGGCCUCAAAUUCAAUUUAGGUCAAGUUAGGUUAUUUGAGUGUCUUUUGGUGCACAAAUCAUAUCAAAUAUGUGCCAUUAGAGCACAUAUUUUGGCUCCAAUCGUUCCCUAUCAACUUAAACUUUGCUAGUCCCUAGAAAAUGAAAAGAGUACAAAAAGAAUGAAAAAUAUGUAAUGAGAUUCAUGAAACCAUAGUGACUCGACAUAACAUGUUUCACACACAAGAUACCUAAGUAGUCAAAUUUCCUAGAAUUGAGCAAGAUGACACAAGAUAUGCAAUUUCUUAGUUUUCUCACUUUAUCUUUGUAUAAAUAAAUGCACAUCCAUGUUUAGCAUUCCCCUUAGUGUCUCUUGAUUUUCUCUUGAUUGGUUUUUUCCACCUAAACCUCAUGUGCUUAAUUUUUGUGUCCCUUCGUAGUAUUCUUCUUAAGACUUUUUCUUAAACUCAAAUUUCAUCAUUCUUUAAGUUAAAGAGGGAAGAAAAUUUAUUUUGAAUUUUCUUUCCUAGUUUAGGAAAUCUCUUUUUAUAUGGUUCAAUAGGGAUCUACCAUAAACGCUCAAGUUUUCACCCAAGGUACCAGGUAUUGAGAAGCUUUAUAAGCCACUUACCCCUCAAGUUCUCACCCUAGCUCAAUAUAGAACAAGAUCGAAUUUCCCAAACAUUUAUUUAUUUAUUUAUUUAUUUAUUCUAAAAUGAGUUUAGCUUGUGUUGUGUAACGAGCAAGAUACCGAUAACUCCUAACUAGUUGGUUUAGAGCACCAAGGCUUGAAGACAUAAGGCCAUUACCCCCUCGGAUAAUAUAUAUAUAUAUAUAUCUCAAGGUCUCAAACCUUUAAGCAGGUUACUAUGGCUAAUCCCUCUCAAAAGGAAUUAACAACAAGUUCUUCUUUUUCAAGUAAACAAAUUGUGGUGGCUGCCAACCCCACACCUCUUUCAGCAAAAUCAAGAUAUUGGCAAAAGGAUUUAAACCAACCUCUUUUGGUUAUUGAGAGAGAUUUUUUCUCUGAAAACCCCAGAGAGAUUGUAGCAAAAGCUUUUCAUAAAAAUUUUCACUAUCCCUCUAGUGAUCUUUUAAAAACAAGAAAAUUUUAUGAAGUAGUUCUCGUUGAGACUGGUUCUGUUAAGAUCAAGCAUAAUGCUGAUAAAUUCAACAAUUUAUAUAUAUAUAUAUAUAUAUUAUUUCAUCAUCUUGUUGCUUAAGAACAACUCCUUUUAAGCUAAAAAAAAUUAUCUUAAUCAAUAUACCAUAAGGGUAUUCGUGCGUUGUGUGUACUUUGAGUCAUAAAUAGAAAAUAACCAUCAAAGAAAAAUUGGAGGUAUCCCAAUGAUUCAACCUAACUAUUUUUACACUUGAAGGUAUAUGAAGAAAAGGUAAGCAAAUUAAUACUCUUGCUUUAAUUGUAUCUAUUCUCAAAUUCUAAAGAAAUAAUGCUACUUAAAGCAUUCUCAUGCAAAAUAAACCAUGAGUCACUAAGGCAAAUCAAGAAUCACAUUAACUAACCAAAGAUAGCAUGCAAACUUUUGAAAAAAAAAAGGGCUAAUAUACCUUCCUCCCUCAACCUAAAUUACACAAUGUCCCCAAUGUGUAGAACAAGUGAAAAGAAUAGGGUAAGUGUUACCUCACGAUCAUAGAAUCAGAAUGGCAGGUUAGAAAACCAAAUCCUGUAUCAGCCAAUCAUCUAGGAAACAAUAUCAUAAAACUACCAAGAAAUAAAAAUUAUCAAAAUAUUCUAAAUAAGAAAAAAAAAAAGACAAGAAAACAAAGCAUAACAAUUCAAAUCCUAAAAGUCUUAAGGGAGAAAUAAACUAGAAAUACCUAAACAUGAAUAAAUGAAAAAGAAAUAAAAACAAAAACAAUAACCAAAAAAACAACCUAAACCUAAUUUUACCUACUGGAUAAAGGAAAAUGCAUCAUCCAUUUGGAAUCUCUCCAUCAACAAGAUAGUAAGUUUCCUUCUAUGGCCUCACUUGCUCUCUAAGGAACUUGAGGCAAUGGUCUUUCACCUUAAACUUAUGACCAAUUUUGGGAUUGAGUAGGGUGAUGGAGCCAAAAAUAGGAACUUGUCUCUUAUUUGGCUUGAACUUUCUCCUCUUGUUCCUUUUACCAUGAUGAAAUUUCAAUUUAUCUCUUGCUUUCAUCCAUUUUUCAUAUAGUUCUUCAUCCAAAACACCUAAAUUAAUUUUUCCAUUCAUUCCAUUUUUUUUUUACAUUCCUUAAGAAUUUUCAACAACUUUCUUCUUUGCACUUCUUCAAUUGAUGAAAUUGAAUCAAACAUUGGUUCAAUAUCUUGAAAUAUCUAGUUUGUGGGCUUUGAAUGAGAGUUUCAAUUUGAUUUGAUUAGUGUAAAAUUGCUCAUUAUUUAUUACAAUUAAAUUAUGCAAACUCAUGGCAUUGCAUGCACAAUAGCACUCAAUAUAUCAUGUUUUCUCAAUAUAAAGUGUCUUGAUAAUUUUAUGAGUUUUUCAAGGAAACGUAGCAAAAGGUGGCUUAAAUGGAGCAAUUUGGAAUUGUUAAUAACCUUAGAAGGAAGAUGACUUGAUACCCCACUAAUUCCCUUUCAAAAACCAUAAAAGAAUGCAAAAAAUGUUCAUCCUGGUAGGCUUAAUGGUUAGGCUAUUAGGCUUGCUAGGCUGAGAGCCUAGCAACUAAUUAUAGUUUUAAGCUUUAUUUUAUUUUAUUUUAUACUUUUUAUAGCCCAAGCAGCCUCACAACCCUCCUAAAUAUCUAUUUCUUCAUUUCUCACUCUACAUCUCUUCUCCUUAGUGGAGACUUGAACUUUAAAUCACCAAAUCUCGAUCACUUCUUCCCAUUCUCACCCUUCAUCUCUCAUUCCUCUUUGAGCAAAGCUUUCUAUGACCAUUGUCAAUGCCUCGGGAAAUGAUUCAAAGUUUUCAUCAAAGCCCCAACUACCAUAGCAUGCAUGACACUUGGCAAUCUUAGGAAGUCACCUCAUAUAGUAAGUUGUUCAAGGAAGAAAGAUUCCAUUUGCCUCCAAGUUGACAACUCCUCAACAUCGCUCCACAUUCUAUAAAUGGCUAGCUAUGAAGGUAGUAGAGAAAAGAGAAGCAUUAAGUAGAACAAUUUAAGAGUAGGAGAAUGUGAUAAAUAAAGAAGAAGAACUUUAUUUCCUCUAAGUGUACUUGUAAUCUUACAUCUUUAGUUAUGUUUUCAAUUUCAAUGUUUAAUUUUCAGCACGUGUGCGAUUUCUUUGGUUUAUGGUGAGGGUGAGCUUAGUCACCCAUUCAAUUCAUCAAAUCUUAGGUGAGACAAGUUGGGCAAGGAUCAUCAUAUUCAUUGUUGUCACCAAGUGUUGUUGUUGCUUGAAAAUGUCUUGAGUAGAUGGUAGUUGGCAGAGUGAUGACUAUAGUAUGGAGCCUUCAUAGGACUUGAUCAAUCUUGUCUUAUAUAAAAGAAAGAGAAUAAUUUAAAGUUUUUUCAGAUUUGGUUUUUUUUUUUUUUUUCUAUGUAUAAAGAAUAAAGAAUUGGAAAAUGCAUAAAUUUUUAAAUAAAUUUUAUUGUAUUUGAUUUUUUUAUCAUAUUUUUCAUGAUAAACUAAACAAAAGAUUUUGGAUUUCUUAUUAUUAUUUGUUACUUUCCUCUAGUACUUGUGAUAUAAAUAGAAUAUAAGACUUCUUUUAAAUCUUGUAAAGUUUGAGGGAAAAUUAAAAAAAAAAAAAACAAAAAAUAGAGAGAAUUAGAAGGAAAGAAAAGUAUAACCACGAAAGAAAUAAAUUUAAACUUGAAGUAUUUUUCUUACAUUUAAAUUUUAAUUUUCAUCUUUUUCCUCCUAUACAAAAAAUGAAGGCUAUGUUUGAUUUCUGGAAAAUACUAAAAAGGAAAAAAAAAUACUAAGGAAAAUGAUUUUCUUCUGAUUGGUUUUAUUAUGAAAAAAAAAUCAAAUAUAAUUAAAAUCAGUUAGAAAUUUAUAUAUUUUAAAAUCAUUUAAUCUUUAUAUAAUAAAGGAAAAUAAGUAAAAUGGGUUUAAAAAAGCAUAUAAAAAUGAUUUAUUGACUUUAAAUCUAUUUUUUAUAUUUUUUUUCACGUUUCCUGCUUAUUUUCUUUCCCUUACAUUUUCCCUCAAAUUUUCCAAGAACCAAAUCUAUAUAUAUAAAUUUUCAAUUUCCUUUUUUUUUUCCUUUCCAGCUAUGCUUUUCUUGAUGGGAACCAAAUAAAAUUUACUUUUAUACUUUCUUUCCCUGCCCACCAAAAAGGAGGGUAAAGGGACAGUAUAAUUUUUCACACAAUUUUUUAUUUUAUUGUCUUUCUCAUCAUCCUUUUUGAAAGAAAAUAUUGUCAUAUCACUUCUCAAAAGUAAUUACUUGAGUAAACAUGAGUAAUUACUACUUAAACUUUUUAUUUAUAAAGUUGAGUUAUGAGAAUUGUAGUAUGUUUUUAGUUACUUUCAAUAAAAAUUUGGUAACGGAUAACUUCUUGAUAUAAGAUACUUGUUUGAGUCAUUAGUAUUUUGAACCUCAGGGUUUGAAGUGUAAUUAAAAUAAUCAUCAUACCAUUAGAGUGGAUUCAUAAAUAAUUAAAAUCAAUAAAUAUAAAAAAAAAUGACAUAAUGAAAAAGAUUGAAAUUAAAAAGAUUUUAUGAAACCAACACGUUGAGAAAAAAGGCAAAAAAAAGUGAACAUGUUAUAAAUGAGGGAAAAAAAUCAUAUGACAUGGUUGAUUGUCACAUGUUAAUUUUUUUAUAAAAAAAUAAAAUAAAAUAAAAGGCAACACUUUAUCAAAGUAAAAAAAUAAAAAGAAAGAAAAAAGAAAAAAUUGUGAUAGUUGGUAAGAGGGAAGGAGGAUUAGAGGGUAGUUUUCAAUGCAUAUUUAUUAGUUUAUUUUUUACUUCGAAGGUUAAAAUUCAAACUAAAAAUAAAAAAUAAAAAAUAAAAAUUGGUGCAUAAUUAUAUAAUCUCCCCUUAUGAAAAUCCAUUGAAUGCAUGACUUCAUAGCUAGUAUGCAUUCCUAUUCUCUUUUCUUGUAUUUAUACACAAUUGAUCAAUAUUUAAUUUUCUUUUUAGGAAAAGGAAUAAUUUUGUGAGAAUUUGUGUUAGGGAGUUUAUGAAGAAAAAAAAAAUAGUCGAUUUUUAAAAAAAAAUAUUUUACAUCUAGAUUAUUUUUAAAAAUAUUUAUAGUAAUAAUCUUUUAACUUUAUUUUAUUAUUAUUUUUAUAAUAAAACCACAAUCAGUAAAUAUGGUUUCAAUAUCAGAGCUAAAAUCACAAUCACUAAUUAUGGUUUUGUCAUGAAAAAAAAGAAGAAAAAUGAUAUAGUAAUAUGCUAAUAUGGCAUGAACAUAAUUAGUCCCCGAUGAAUAUUUUAAAAAUAAAUCAAGAAUGAUAUUUUUUUCCGAAAAAGCUUAGUUUGGCAGCUGUGUUAGGACCAAAAUCUUUUUGCCCAUAUUGAGGAAAUUAAAGGGGAAUUCAUGAGACGGAUGAGUAGGAUGUCGGAUGCAAACAGACGAGUAGGAUGUCAGAUGCAAACAGACGAGCAGGAUGUCAGAUGCAAACAGACGAGUAGGAUGUCGGAUACAAACGGAAGAAAAAGAGUGAAAGAAAAUGUGGGAUUGAAAUCGAUGUCUGAUGAUUUUAUAUAGUCUACAUUUUGACUUUUCAACUUUAUCAACCUUGUAUGAUUGAAAAGUGAAAUCAAGUUUGGAAGAUCAAGGUGUCUUUUCAAAUUGUAUAUGUGAUUAAAGUAUGUCCGUUGGUGUCAGUUUAUCUCCUCGAUCUAACCUGAGAACGCAACUCCUAUUAAAAAUUCCCUCGUGUGGUGGUCCACCAAAGACUUUAUUUCUAAAGUUUUGUAGCUUCAUGUCGGUUGACGUGAGUUUAUCUCCUCAAUCUGACCAAGUCCAUGCUCUUAAAACAAAGAAAGUUGCUGCAACUCGUGGCGGACCCACUGUCUCCAAUGAUAAAAUUUCGAACUCAAACUAACAUAAAGGCAUGUGUCCUCAAUGAGAUGGCUUUCGUUUAUCUCCUCAAACGGAUCAUGGGCAACUCUCUUUAUAAAUUUCCCUCCUCAUAUGGCCAUUAUGAAGCAAGCUCAGCCAAGCAUUGGAUAUCAAUCUCAUUGUUUCUUCAAGGGGUAAUCUAAAAAAUCACCUCUCAUUUGUGCUUAUAAAUGAAUAUGUUAAAACUACCUAUUAUCGGUUUCUUUGGGUUUCCAUAUCAUUUAUAUAUACCUAUAAUUGAUUAUUUUUAAGUGUUUCAUUUCAUUUGGAAAGCAUUAGCCAAAAGCCAAAAAAAAAAAAAAAUCGGUUUUUUUUUAUUUGUUUUGUAUUACCAAAUAUAAUAAAAAUUAUUUAAAAUUUCAUAUUUUAUUUUCAAAGUUUCAUUAUGUUUGUGAAAACCAUAUGGUAAGCUAUAUUUAAAAAAAAAAAAAAAAAAAAAAAAAAAAAAAAAAAAAAACUAGUGAAUUUGUACAAGUUUUUUAUUUUCCUUCAAAAAAAAUGUUGUGAGGUAUAUAAAAAGUUUUUGUUGAAUUUGAAUUCGUUUUUUGUUUUACCUUCAAUCUAGUUUCUAUUUUAUUUCUCUCGUAUUAAUUUUGGCCUUAUUUAGAAUAGUUUUCUUUUUCUUUUCUUUUCUUUUUUUUUUUUCAAAAACUUUCUUGAAAACAAAGUGAUAAGUUUCAAAGCAUUAGUUGAUAUUUAAAAUUUUUUCUUGAAUAUGAAAUAACUUCAUGUAUAUAAGUUAAAAAAGAGUUUUAUGAUUGAAGUCAUAAUCUUUUUUAAUAAAAUUAAUUAAAUAAAUAUAAAAACUAUAUUAAGCUUAAAAAGAGCUUUCAAUCUCUAAAAAAUCAAUUACUUAAAAAUCCUUUCUCAAAGCUAAAUAUUGUCUCUUUAACCAACCUCCAAGGGAAAAAGAAGCUAUGACUUUCCAAUUCUACAACCCAAAUAUAGUAAAAUCUUCCAUUCUUUUAAUACUAAUCUCCUUGGCAAACUCUUCAUACAAAUAAGCUUAGGGACUAAGUACCACACAUCAUUCCUAACAAACUAAUUUAAUUCUUCCUGUGAUGCAAUAGUCCAAAAUUCAUAUUCUAAAGCUUCUUCCACAUUUUUUAGCUCUAAUUGAGAGGUAUGGCAAAAAAAAACUUAUCUCGUUUUGUCUAGAUUAAGCCUCCUUGUAACCAUGGAGUCAUCCAUGUUUCCUAUUACAUUUGAGAUAGGGUGAUUUUUAGGUACUCUAGAUAAAGCCUCCUUCUUUCACUUCACUUGACUUAGUAAUGUCAAGUGGUUGUUCAUCUAUGUUGGGGCCAACCACCUUUUCAGGAAUACUUUCAAGGAUUUCCAUACUCUCAUCCACUAUUUUAGGAAUAUAUCUAAUGGAUUCCUAGGUUAAAUCAUAAGAGUUAUCAUCUUUCUUAGAAUCCCCUUGUGUCAUCAAUGUCUGCAUUAUAGGAUUCCUAAAUGAACUUGGUAUUCUAGUUAUAUGCCCUAUAGGCUUUACUCCUAGUGGAAUAGCCUAGAAAAUUUUCUAAAUUGGAAUUAGAAUCAAAUUUGCCUAGGUUUUCCCUAUUCAUGAAAAUGUAACACUCACUGCCAAAAGUUGUAAAAUCCUUAAGAUUAAAUUUUCUCCCUAACCACAAUUCAUAACAUGUUUUAUCUAUUCUAGACCUAGGAAAAACCCUAUUGGCAAUAUAACAAGUUGUGUCUAUUCUAGACCUAGGAAAAACCCUAUUGGCAAUAUAACAAGUUGUGUCAAUAGCUUCAGCCCAAAAAUAUACAAAAAAAUCAUGCAUGUGAAGAUCACUUUGGUCAUUUCUUGAAAAACUCAAUUCUUCAUUUUAAGUACUCCAUCUUGUUGAGGAGUUCUAAGGGUUGAAUAUUUAUGUUUAACUCCUCUAAUUCACAAAAGUGAUCAAUUUCAACACUAUCAAACUCUCUUCCCCUAUCACUCCUAAUCUUAACAAUUGGAUGACCUUUUUCCACCUGAAUUCUAGUACGCAAAGACUUUAAAUGCUCAAUAGUCUAAAAAAUUUCCCUAAAAAAACAUAUGAAAGAAAACCUAGAGAAAUCAUCAACAACAACAAGGACAUAUCUCUUACCACCUUUGCUCUUAGUGCAUAUAGUGUUAGAAUUUAUAUAUAGGUGAAUGAAAAUUAGGACACUUUUUUUCUCUUGGAAGACGUGUUGUUUCAUAAUGGACACAACUUGUUUCAAAGGAUGUCUGUAGUGUUUUAAAAAAACAACCUUUUCCAAAGGAGUAUGUUUGGUGUCUUACGACACAACCCUUUAAUGGAUUUGUCUAGUGUCUUAAAAACACAUCUCUUCUAAUAGUCACCAACAAAAUCUAUAAAUAAGCGCCCCCCUUGUCUUUUCAGAUUCACUUUUUCAUUCAUCCGCUUUCUCCAUUCUUUCUCCUAUCUAGUCUCUUAAACUUUCAAGUCCUUCUUAGCUUCAAGUUUUUUUUUUUUCGGUAUUCAAGAGAGUACAAAUCACCAAGUGAUUCAUUGUUUCUCGUAAUUUGGAGUGCUACUAUUACAAGAAAGUGAUCGUUAUAUCCUAGGAGACAAUCACCUGUAUCGUAAGCACCUAAGCUGGGUGAAAUUUGUUUGAAAGACAUAAAGUCAAACCCUAACCUCGAUCAACCCCAUAAGACCAUCUAGUCAAUGGUUGAGGACAACAAACUUAAGACAAAUUUUCUUUUAUAGCUAAUUUUAUCACAAUUGAUUUCUAGUGAAGAUGUACUAUGUUUGAGACAAAUUUGAGGAUUGUACUAUACUUUUAUUUAUUUUAUACAGUAACUUAAUAAUUGAUAACUUCUUGAAAUAAGAUACUUGUUUGAGUCAUUUGCAUUUUGAGUCUCAAUCACUUGUAUUGUAAGCACCUAAGCGAGGUGAAAUUUGUCUUAUAAACACAAUGAUCAAUCUCUAACCUCGAUCAACCCCAGAAGACCAUCUAGUCAAUAGUUGGGGACAACAAGCUUAAGACAAAUUUUCUUUUGCAACUAAUUUUAUUACAAUUGAUUUUUAGUGAAGAUGUACUAUGUUUCAAACAAUUUUGAGGAUUGUACCAUGUUUUUAUUUAAAUUUAGUAAUUGAUAGCCUCUUGAUAUUAGAUACUAGUUUGAGUCAUUUGUUGAGUCUCUAAGUUUGAAGUGUAAAAUAAUCAUCAUGACCUUAAAGUGGAUCUUGGGAUGUGACACAUACAACUAAAUGGAGCAUUGUUAAAGACAAAAAUAAAAUAGAUAUCAUAGUAUUUCUUAAACUAUGAAACUCAUUUAUCUAAUUUGGUCAUGAUAUUGAACCACAUGCAAAUAACACAAUACACAAAUAUUCAUUCAUAAAUAUUCUAGACAGUUCUAAAUUAGAACUGUUUGUUUAUCUAUAAAAACAAAAAUCAAAAGAAAGAAAAAUUCAUCCAUUUUUCGAGAAUCUUUUACUAAUUUCGAUGGUUUAUGUAUAGGACAUGGACGAGUUACAAGUGUUCAAUUUUUUAUUUUUAAAAGUUUUUAAAUCAAAUAAAUUUGUAUACCUUUAUAGUUUAAUUUUUUUAAAAUUAUAAAAGUACAAAUUAACAAACAUGAGUAUGGACUUCUAGUUUUGUUCCAAUAAGUAUGACAUUGCUUCAUUUACAUUUUUCAAUUAUCAUUAUCAUUAUUUUAAAAUUAAUUUUAUUUUAAUUCCAUGUUUAAUGCUUUUGUUUCCAUUUACCCUUACUCUUUUCUAGAAUGACAAUAGGGUGAGUUUUUUCGGCUACCUCGUCCCACCCUUAAUAAAUUGGAUUUGGGAUGAAGAGAAUCGGGUUGAUGGUUGGUUUAAGAAUUUUUUUUUAAAACAAAGUAUUUUUAAUCAUUCAUAAAUUUCAAAAUACUCGUGUACUCAACAUUGAGAAUUAGGUUUAGAAAACUAAUCCUCCUCAAUUGGCGUACGUUUAGAAGAGCCCUAGUUGUAACCCUAGAGUCGAUUUGUUUGGUUGUAUUCUUAUUAGUUGUCUGUUUACUUCUCUCUAACAAGGCCUUCAUGGUAUACUUUUGAACUCUUAUGACUGAAUUAAUAUUCACCAAUCAACUGUAUAUUUGUUACAACAAUAAAUAUGGUUGUAAAAUGAUAUAAAAUCAAUGACUAAAAGAUAGAAAACUAUUUGCUAGAAGUAAAUUUUAUGGGUUAGCGUCCUUAAAUAUGACUUGGGUGUGUUAUAAAUAUAAGUUUAUAUCAAAAAAAAUUAUUAUGAAACACUCAAACAUGCUGUGUUGAGGUGUGGUGAGAGCUACGAGGUGGAGAAACAAUUCAAGGUGAUGUUCGAUCAAAUCUAGUAUGCAACUUAUAAUAACUAAUUACUAGGAGAAAAAUCCUAAAAACAAAUCUAAGUGACUAAAUGGUCGUAGAAAUCAACAAGCUAAGACAAACUUUGAGGAGAGACCAUAUGACACAUAGUCAACCCGAGCCAGGGAAACGCCAAGGGUGUUGAGUCCAGGUAUCUGUGCCGUGACCAUGGACCCAAGUUGGUUUGAUGUAUUUCCCGGAAGACGAAGCCCUUAAAAGGAGAAAUCAUUUGGGAUCGCAAGCUUUGGAUCUUGGCAGAAUUUCCCAUUCACAGACACUGCAAAGCAACAAAUAUAUUAGGACUAACGCAGCCUUGGAAAGAUCAAUGUAUAGUUUAGAGAAUGAAUCUCAAAUGGAGAAGAAGAGUAGAGAGAGGACAUGAUUAUUAUACCAGUGGCGUUUGUAUCGUUAACAGCUACACAGAAGUGCUGAAGAGGACUGGGAUCGGAGGCAGAGGCAAGAUUAAAUGCCAUAGCCAAGAGUGCAAUGUAUGCAAGGGUAUUAACUACCAUCUUCUUCGUAUCUAUGCAAAGAAGUGUAACGUUGGUAGAGCUAUUUAUAGUGGAGUCAUCUCUGAACUUUGAAGCAGUGUUAUAUUAUAAACUUUUAUUGUAUUCCACCACUCUCCAAAAUCUCUUAUUUAUAGUUACUCACACUUGACAAAAUAGAAACUUCUAAUAAUAACAUAUGAAACUUUCCAUGAUUCAACAAGUCAAAAAUAGAAACUAAAAUAACUAAUCAAAAAUAAAAUAUUCUCUCAAUUUUUAGAAACUAAAUCUGAUUCCAUUAUUUAGAAAGUUUCUAAAUCCAGUUUAACUUUUCAACAAUACUAACUAUUCUAAUCCAAAUGAAAAACAAAUUAUGUAAAUUACCAAGUCCUCAAAGUUUGUCUUAGCUUGUUGAUUUCUACGACCAUUUAAACAUUGUACGUAUACAGCAAGUAACAAUUUGUCUUAGUAUUAAAAAUUCCCUCUUGUGUUCCACCAAAGAUUUUCUUUCAAAUGUCUGCAGCUGCAUGUUCAAAACCAUGUCCGUUGGUGUCAGUUUAUCUCCUCAAUCUGACCGGAGAACAAUGAAUUAGAUUUCAUAGUACAAAUUUCCGAUCAAAUCCCAAGCGAUUGGUAGCUUAUGAUCUCCUAUUAGAACCAAACUUUUGUAUCAGAAACUGUAAAUUAUUUUGUCUUGACUCAUUUUCCUUGACUAAUCUCAGGGACUGAGAAAGCAAAAGGCGACUGUCCGUUGGCGCCAGUUUAUCUCCUCAAUCCAUGCUCUUAGAACAAAGAACGUUGCCUCUACAACUCCCGGCGGAUCCUAUGAGAUGCUGCUUCAGUUUAUCUUCUCAAACUGAUCAACUGAAGGCAACUCUCUUUCUAUAAAUUUGCCUCCUCAUAUGACCACUAUGAAGCAAGCUCAGCCAAGCAUUGGAUAACAAGCACGUUGUUUCUUCAAGGUCUCAAUCUUCUCUUCACAGCUUGCUAUUCAAUGGGGAGGGCUUCCCUGUUUUUUUUUCUACAGUCAUUGUAUUUAUUUAUUUGUUUUCUUGUAGUAUAUUUCAUGGAAGCAGCUUUAUUGGGUUAAUUUCGUCCAUCUCUGCAGGGAAAUCCGUAAUGGAAAGAUCACAGCGAGCGAGUGGGUCGGAGGCACGGCCAUGGACCGAAGAAGAAGACCAGAAGCUCAUUAAAAGUAUAAACGAAUGUAAGACCGAAAAUCGCUCUCUAUCUUGGCUAGAAAUCGCAUGGGAGACAGCGCUGGCGAGGAGUAGUUCGAGUUGUAGGAAGAGAUGGGAAUAUUUGGAGAAUAAGCAUUGAGUUUGCUGCAUGGUCAUGAACGCAUCUUAUGAUAAACCUAGGCUUCGUAUUAUGUUGAAGGGUUAGACCCAUUAAUUUCUGCAUAAUGUAAUGGUUGGCUUAUUGUACUCACCGAUGAAAUUAUUCAUCUUAUAAUAAACGUGUGUUUUCUAUUAUGUUGAAGGGUUAGACCCAUGAUUUGUGACCAUCCAUUUGAAGGAAAUAUAAUAAAUAAAACCUCAACUGUGAAAGACAUAAAAAGUAAUUUCGCAUACAAUAAUAAAUAAUAAUAAUAAUAAAUUAAGUGUAAAAUCCACCAUUCUUACAUUAUUAUUUUUUAAUUUUAUUUAUAGUUUUAAUUAUAUUAUGAAAGAGUUUAUAGCUCAAAAAAGAAAAAGAAAAAAAGGAAAACGAGAUAAUGAGUAUUGAGCACUAUUCUUAUAACCACCUUCAAGAUAAAAAUCCAAAGCCAUCAGGGCCUUUCAUUAUUAUAAACAACAAAAAAUAAAGUCUCAAUAGCUUAAAUAUAUCAUUUUUAAUAUUGAUUUUUGAAAUAUUUUGAUCAAUCAAUUCAAAUAAAUUUAUAAAAAUUCAUGUAUCAUUUGUUUAACAUGACUUUAAGUCUAUUGGUUCAGAAUGUAAACAAAAAAUAUUUUUAAUCAUUUAUGAUUUUCAAUUGGAAGCCAAGAAAAUAUUAGUGCUGGUAAAAGCUUUAUUUUGAUUUGUGUAUGUAAGUUUUUUUUUAUAUUAAAUAAAACUUUUAUAAUAUCAAUAAUCUCAAUCUCAAGAGCUUUUAGUUUCUUCAUCCCACUUAGUAGGAGUUCUUUCUGUUAGGUCUGGUUUUUUAAAAUAUUGAUUUUUAAUUCAAUCGAUUCAAGCUCGGGACUUUCCACAAUCCAACUUAAGGUAUAGAAUAAAGAAAACAAUGGUUUUUUUAAGUAAAGUGAUCCUAGGGUUUUGGGAUCCUUUGCCUGUCGCGAUCAAUUUGAGUUCUAUAACUCAAAAUUGUAUUUGAAACCUAAUUUUUCAUUUUUAAAACUAAUUCCUAAAACCAUCAAAUAAAUGAGAUUGAUUACUCGUUUAAGAUUUGGCUAUUUAACCAUUUUUAUUCUUUAUAACUUUGUUUUGAGGGAAAUAAUGAUAGGGAAGACCAGAAUAACUAAUGAUAAAGAAUUACCAAGAAUCACUAGUAUCGGAUAAUAACCUAUUGUAUCAUUCCCUAAACUAAUUCACAAGGAUAGAAUAAAAAAAUUUGGUAUUUUUUUUCUCUUUUAUUAAUUUUAUAUAUAUAAAAAAUUGUAAUCUAAGAUUUGUGUUGAAUUUCAAGCAUGAUUCUUGGCUAACUAUAGUAGUUAUUUCAAUUUAGGCAUGGUAGCCAAGUACAUAAUAUAUAGCAAAAGAGUAAGAUAGUGUUUUAUAAAUCCAACUUAUUGACUUAAUGACUUCAUCUAGAGGUUAUUAAGCACAUUAAAUGAAUUUUGUGAAGUAUAUACUAUUAUAACUUAAAAUUAAAAAUGAUUUUGGUGAAUCAAUUUAAUGAUUUAAUAACUUAAACAUAAUUUAGUUUAAAGUUACUUUAAGUCAUUAAGCAACGAACUUAAAUUCUAUUACAUGCCCUCCUAAGUAUCAAGCCAAAUAAUUUAAUAGCGUGCAUAUUUUUCAAGUAAUUUCAUUAAUUUUAUUUCUACAAAGAAUAGUAAUUUGUAUUGACAUAAAUUAAGCAAGGUAUAAAGAGGGAAUCACAAACUUUAUAUGUACUUAUUUUAUGUAAAAACAUUAUGACAUAUUUACUAAACAUUUUAGGAAAGAGAAUAAAACAAAACAUAAUCAAAAUGAUAAGAAAACGAAAUACAGGAAAUCAAAUUUAGAAUCAAGAUUUCUAUUAAAGUACUUACAAAAUUAUUAAAAAAACAAAAUAAGACUGAAAUUGAUUCCUUUGAUAUGUUUACUAAUGGUGAAGAAAUAGAAUGAAAUAUGUGUGUUUAUCAUAAUUGGCUUAAUAGCAAUGUUACUUUUUUUUUUUUUUUUUAAAUAAACUUGAUACAUUUUCAAAAAUCAUACUUUUCAAACUUACACAAUUAAAAUGAAAUUUGGAUUAAAAAAUAUUUAUUUUUAUUGAUUAAAAAAAUUAUUUUGAAGAUGAUAUUUUUUAUCUUGUUUAUAACAUCUGAAUUUAACUGGGGAUUAUUAAUAUUUAUAUAAAUAAGAUAAAACGAAUAAAAAGCAUUGGUAGCUCGUUAGUAUACCUAUCCUGUAUUGGGGCCUCACUAUUUGAUAUUAUUCAAUAUAUAAAUAAAUGUCUUUAAUUUAUAAAGAAAUAUCUAAUUUAAAAUUUUAUAUAAGAUUUCUUGAUUUACAAAAAAUAUUAUGCUAAAGAAAUUAAAGUAUUUAUUUGGUACAUAAUUGAUAGUAUUCAAGAUAUGAAAACCUUUAAUUCAAAAUAUUAAUAAUUGAAUGUAUCAUUAUGUUAAUUAAAAUAAUUAUAAUAACUCUCUGAUGAGGGCCCAAAACUCAUGCCAAUUUGCUAUUAAUAAAAAAGUUGUGAUAUUAAUAGGAAAAAUAAACUUGCUGCCAGUUAAGAGGGAUUUCCAAAAGUGAUAUCUUAGUCAAGGAUUGGAUAUAUAUAUUUGCUUUUAUAAUUAGAAACUUUUAUAUAAAAUAUUUAUAUUUAUUUUAUGUCUUUAAAAAUUUUAAUGAGAUGAUAAUUUUUUAUUUUUUAUUUAUAACUCAAUUUUUUUAAAGAGCUUUGGAAACCAUUAUUUUUUUUAAUAUAAAUCCCUAAAAAAAAUUGCAUCUUAAUAUAAAAGCAUCCAUCAUUUUCUGAUUUUAAAAACAAAAAUAAUAAAUAUAUCCAAAUGAAUACUUGAUUAUUAAAUUUACAUUAAUUAUAUAUAGAAACUUUUACAUUUUGAAAGUAAUUUUAGGAAGCUUAGAAACAUUAUUAAAGUUAUAAAAAAUAAAAAAAAAACAAAGCACUUGAUUAUAAAAUGAUAAAUUUACUUUCUCAAACUAGAAAUUAAAAAUCAAAGAUAUUUCAAAACCAUUUCUAAAUUUCUUUUCCUAAAAUAUAAGACAAAAGUACUUUGUAUGUGAGUACACCUAAAAUCCGAGGCCAAGGGCAUCAUUGUCAUUUCGUACAUUAAGUUAUAAAACUCAACUCAUGAAUGACACCAAAAUGAAACAAAUUAUAGCUAAUCUUUCAAUUGGCUGCUUUGAACACAUUCAAAGCAUACUAAAAACAACUUUCUGAUUAAGAAUAACUCUCCAAAGAUGUUCCCAUUGAACUAAUCAAAGUGAAUUAAAUAUUCAAUAGACUUAUGAUAGGUUGUUCAACCUAUACUUAACCAGCCCACUCAUUACUGAUGUCAAAAUACCUCAAAAAGGUCAAGAGAAGGGGGUGAGCUCAAAAAACCUGGCCAAUGAGGAAGUAUGCAGCAUGUAUAGAUCAAGUACAUAUUUGUGCAAAAGUAAAAUAAGGAUGUAUCAUAUUAGUUGUGAUUACAAAUUUUAUUUAACCAAUGAAAUGUUUAUGCAUCAAGAGAAAAUGACUUCCCCAUGCCAAAUCAUAUAAUACAGGAAUAAAAAAAAGCAUAAGUUUUGAAUAAAUAAUUCUUUAUAGUUAUUUUAGAUACGCAUAUAAAAUUUUUGGCUUUUACAAAAUCAAAUCUAAUCUAAUGGUAUACUAUAGGUCGGUAACUACCCCACAGACUAGGUUAUUUAAUGGUAUGUUCUUGAUGAACAAAAUCAAAUCUAAUCUAAAGGUAUACUAUAGGUCAGUAACUAUCUUACUUACUAGGUUAUUUAUUCUUAUGCUAUAGAUAAGUAACUACCCUACUCACUAAAUUGCAUAUAAAUAAAUUAUCACCAUCAUCACUAAGGGUAGCGAAAGUCAAUAGCUUUAGCAUUUACUAACAGGGUCAGAUAACUAGAGUUUUUACUAUAUAAUCAAUGUAUCUUUGUAACAAUGUUAAAAAUGAUGUUCCUAAUUUUCAUAGUUUCCUAUACACAUGAGUAAAACAUUAAUUUUGUUUUAGAAAAAUAUACUUAUCCAAAUUUUAUAAAAAUAAAAAGGACUUCACUUAUUUCAACCAUAAAAUUGACAUAUCAUAAGUAAUUUAGUACAAAAUAGAUGCACACACUAUAAUUCUCUUACAUAAGAAACAUAAAAAGUUGAGAGGCUCCUAUACGCUUAAGGAUCACACAACAUCAUACAUAAAAAAAAAAUUAUUAGAAGUAAUUCUACAAUCACUUGAUUUUAUCUACUAAGGUGGUGUUUGUUUUUUUGGCUUUUUACUUAAUGCAAUUUCUUUUUAGAAUUUAGGUUGUUUGUUUUUUUAAUUUUUAAUGACUUAUUACUAAAUUUUUAAAAUUUUUGGCUAAAUGAAAAAAGCCAAAAUAUUUGGCUUUUUCUAAAUAGAAAAAGCUAGUUUUUGAAACCUCCCCUCAAAGCCCGACGCCCGACGCCCGACCUUAGCCCACCCAUCCCCUCAAAGCUUUCUGAAACUGGCAUCCUCAACCCUCACCUCAUCCCCAAAGCGGUAAUUUCUUCAUUCUCUUCCUCCAUCGCUCUCCAUCCGAGACUACACAGUUGGAAAGACGCUUCACUUUCAAUCGACAUUGUUGAUCUGAUUGAAGGUAACCCUCAACCCAAAUUUAUUUUGGAUUUUUGGAUUUUAAUAGAGCAAUCGAGUCUCAUUUCCCAGUGCUUCUCUCUCUAAAACUCUCAUUCUCUAUUCUAGUUCACAUAUGCAAGUGCUCUGUUUAGGGUUUUUGAGUUCACGUGUUGCAGGUCCUAAGAUAAUUUUAGGAUUUCUAGGCUCUGUUAGAGGAGUUGUGUGGGUGUUUCUUUUGUUUGAGUUCAUUUUUAAGAAAAGAUUUAUAGGCUAUUGAUUUUGUUUGAGAUUACAAAGAAUGUGGGUAUCGGGUAUUUGGGUUUUUUUGUCUUAACAAGACCAAAUCAGGAGUAUUCAAUGGGUGGUUGGGAGUUUAAUUUCUAUCUUUUGCAACCCUUUUGAAUUAGUUGUUCAAACUCUCUUACACCAUUUCUCUGAUUGGUAUGUGGAUGCUUUGUUUGCUGAAUUUUACUUGGGUUCUGUUUAUGCAUGCUGUCCUUGUGAUCAACUUCUGAAUUUUUGGCUUUGGUCCAUGGGUAUCCAUCCUUUUAAACUCUCUAAUGAUCUGGCUGCAGUGAGACUGUAGACUCUUAUAGCAUGUGCCUAUAUUUUCAUAUAUAAUCUAUGGAAUGUUUCUUGGAUUCUGUUAGAUGGGUUUAACGAACAGGGUUAUAAGCUGCCCUGUUUAUGGGUAUGGUUUCUAUUCCAUCUGUUUGCUGAGUGAGAAUCAUAGAGGGUUACUAAUUUUGUGCUUAUAUGAUAUAUUUCUUUGUGUUUGAAGAUUCAAAAUAUUUAGAGGUAUUAUUUACCAAAUCUUAUUAUGCAAUACAAUAUUUCUUCUAAUGAUUAUAAUCAUGCUAGUUAUUCUAGGGCCUAGUCACAAAUUUACAAGUGAACGAUAAAAAAUUGAUUUUUUCUGCCAUUAGUUUUGUUUGUAGCCUUCAGGUAGAAAGCCUUCCAAGUAGAAAGAGCAAACAUCAGAUGUGUGUUUGUUUAAUAUAGUGUUAAAUAGAAAAUUGGGUACGAGCCCUCUAACACAAGAUUACAAAACUUUUUAAGCGGCACUAGCAUCCCACUGUGAACCUGAUUUGUCGAUCUGGUUCUGGAUGUAUACAUCCCUUGUAAUCCUUCUUACUCUAGUUUACCGCACCUGAAUCAACUCAGCUCCAUUGCUGUAUGAACUCGUUUAAAUAGAAACAAACUUCUACACCAACCUGGACUGGUGCAACAUUACUUUAGCUCAUGUCACUCGCUUAAAGAGACCCUCUGAGCAGUACUAGGUUAGUCUUCAACUUGAUUGAAGCUGUGGGAAUUGUAAUCCUGCAGACAUUACUCUCUCUAAUGUUCCCCAAACUUUUUUUCAGAACCCAAUUGCUAUAGUGAUUCUACCUACGUCAUUUUUCUUGACCAUUUUCUGCCCCUGGUUACUGGAAGGGGAAGAAAUCCAGGAGCUUCUAGUAAAAGAAGGGUGUAAAGCAUGUCACCUGCCUUGUUUAUUGCUUAGGUGCAAGGAUCAUAGGGUUGAGAUAAUUUUAUUUGUCUGCGUUUUUUUUCAGAUAAAAUGUCUUCUGAGGGAGGAAAAACUUCAGAAUAGAAGGGCUUAAGAUCAUUCCACAGACAUGGUAGGGGCAAAACGAUGAUGAGUCCCAUGAAUAGAGGUGAAACAUAUUACAAAUCAAAAGAAGAAAAACCAAAGUUAAUCCAGGGGGAGCACUAAUUUUCCUUCAGCACCCAGGGUGUUCUACAUAGGAAAACUAUGAUAAGAAUAGGCAAACAAUAUUUC
Molecule: long non-coding RNA, 30942 nt
Filed under: Vitis vinifera (wine grape)
Lineage: Eukaryota; Viridiplantae; Streptophyta; Magnoliopsida; Vitales; Vitaceae
Description: long non-coding RNA (VVIN_LNC004599)
Source: RNAcentral